UCGCCUGUUUAUCAAAAACAUGUCUUCUUGACUAUAAUUUGAAGUCUGACCUGCCCACUGAAUUGUUAGGAUUUGAAGGGCCGCGGUAUUUUGACCGUGCAAAGGUAGCAUAAUCAUUAGUCUUUUAAUUGGAGGCUGGUAUGAAUGGUUGGACGAGGCAUUGACUGUCUCAGUGUAAAUGUUAUUAGAAUUUAACUUUUAAGUCAAAAGGCUUAAAUAUGUUUAGAGGACGAGAAGACCCUAUAGAGCUUUAUAUUGAAUGUGUACAUUUUAUUUAGUUGUAUUUUGAAUGUAGGCAGUAAAAUAUUUGGUUGGGGUGACAGGAAGAUAAAGUAAACUCUUUUUAUAUGUAAACAUUGAUUUAUGAAUAGUUGAUCCAUUAUUAGUGAUUAUAAGACUAAGUUACCUUAGGGAUAACAGCGUAAUCUUUUUUGAGAGUUCUUAUCGACAAAAAGGGUUGCGACCUCGAUGUUGGAUUAAGGGUAAUUUUGGGUGUAGAUGUUCAAAGUUUAGGUCUGUUCGACCUUUAGAUCCUUACAUGAUCUGAGUUCAAACCGGAGA
Molecule: ribosomal RNA, 561 nt
Filed under: Pictetiella expansa
Lineage: Eukaryota; Metazoa; Arthropoda; Insecta; Plecoptera; Perlodidae
Description: partial 16S ribosomal RNA
Rfam family: Bacterial large subunit ribosomal RNA
Source: RNAcentral